CCUACGGGAGACAGCAGUGAGGAAUAUUGGUCAAUGGACGAGAGUCUGAACCAGCCAAGUAGCGUGAAGGAUGACUGCCCUAUGGGUUGUAAACUUCUUUUAUAUGGGAAUAAAAUGUUCCACGUGUGGGAUUUUGUAUGUACCAUAUGAAUAAGGAUCGGCUAACUCCGUGCCAGCAGCCGCGGUAAUACGGAGGAUCCGAGCGUUAUCCGGAUUUAUUGGGUUUAAAGGGAGCGUAGGUGGAUUGUUAAGUCAGUUGUGAAAGUUUGCGGCUCAACCGUAAAAUUGCAGUUGAAACUGGCAGUCUUGAGUACAGUAGAGGUGGGCGGAAUUCGUGGUGUAGCGGUGAAAUGCUUAGAUAUCACGAAGAACUCCGAUUGCGAAGGCAGCUCACUAGACUGCAACUGACACUGAGGCUCGAAAGUGUGGGGAGCAAACAGGAUUAGAUACCCGAGUAGUC
Molecule: ribosomal RNA, 460 nt
Filed under: uncultured bacterium
Lineage: Bacteria
Description: partial 16S ribosomal RNA
Rfam family: Bacterial small subunit ribosomal RNA
Source: RNAcentral